This 468-nucleotide ribosomal RNA is filed under the name uncultured bacterium. RNAcentral's name for it is "partial 16S ribosomal RNA". It matches the Rfam family "Bacterial small subunit ribosomal RNA", at positions 28 to 507 of the family's 1533-position model. The record is from RNAcentral.
GACGAACGCUGGCGGCGUGCUUAACACAUGCCGGUCGAACGGAAAGGCCCUGCUUUUGUGGGGUGCUCGAGUGGCGAACGGGUGAGUAACACGUGAGUAACCUGCCCUUGACUUUGGGAUAACUUCAGGAAACUGGGGCUAAUACCGGAUAGGAGCUCCUGCUGCAUGGUGGGGGUUGGAAAGUUUCGGCGGUUGGGGAUGGACUCGCGGCUUAUCAGCUUGUUGGUGGGGUAGUGGCUUACCAAGGCUUUGACGGGUAGCCGGCCUGAGAGGGUGACCGGCCACAUUGGGACUGAGAUACGGCCCAGACUCCUACGGGAGGCAGCAGUGGGGGAUAUUGCACAAUGGGCGGAAGCCUGAUGCAGCAACGCCGCGUGCGGGAUGACGGCCUUCGGGUUGUAAACCGCUUUCGCCUGUGACGAAGCGUGAGUGACGGUAAUGGGUAAAGAAGCACCGGCUAACUACGUG